UUCUUUUUUUUCUGUUUUUUUUUUUUUUCCUGCUUUUUGCUUUUGCCUUUCUUGUUUCUUUUUUGUUCUCUUCUUUUUCCAAACUGUAAACGAUGGGGAACGGGCAGGCCCAUGAGGUCGAUGCCUAUGAGGAAUCAAAAGGAAAGAAACUCCAUAUUAUGGUUUCUGAGCAGUUAAAACAUGAAACAAAAUUCGACACACAUCAACUCAAUGAACUUUACGUUCAAUUUGCCGCGGAGAAUCCUGCUGGAACAAUUAGGAGAGACCAUUUCAUUAACCACAACAUGAAACUCACAAACUUUGGUUCUGAAGAAUUUUGGGGGCAUGUGUUUGAACUCUUUGAUCAGGACGGCAAUGGAGAGGUAACGUUUGUCGAGUGGGCUGUUCUUCUUUC
Molecule: non-coding RNA, 394 nt
Filed under: Paramoeba aestuarina
Lineage: Eukaryota; Discosea; Flabellinia; Dactylopodida; Paramoebidae
Source: RNAcentral